GGUUCCGUGGCUCACUGGUUAGAGCCCACACCUCUUCAAAGAGGUCAUGGGUUCGAAUCCAGUCGAGAUCG
This is a non-coding RNA of Sordaria brevicollis, 71 nucleotides long. The record is from the annotation of a GenBank genome assembly. NCBI's taxonomy places the organism in Eukaryota, Fungi, Ascomycota, Sordariomycetes, Sordariales, Sordariaceae.